GUCGAGCGGUAACAGAAUGAUAGCUUGCUAUCAAUGCUGACGAGCGGCGGACGGGUGAGUAAUGCCUGGGAAUAUGCCCUGAUGUGGGGGAUAACUAUUGGAAACGAUAGCUAAUACCGCAUAAUCUCUUCGGAGCAAAGAGGGGGACCUUCGGGCCUCUCGCGUCAGGAUUAGCCCAGGUGGGAUUAGCUUGUUGGUGGGGUAAUGGCUCACCAAGGCAACGAUCCCUAGCUGGUCUGAGAGGAUGAUCAGCCACACUGGAACUGAGACACGGUCCAGACUCCUACGGGAGGCAGCAGUGGGGAAUAUUGCACAAUGGGGGAAACCCUGAUGCAGCCAUGCCGCGUGUAUGAAGAAGGCCUUCGGGUUGUAAAGUACUUUCAGUUGUGAGGAAGGCGUUGAUGUUAAUAGCUUCAGCGUUUGACGUUAGCAACAGAAGAAGCACCGGCUAACUCCGUGCCAGCAGCCGCGGUAAUACGGAGGGUGCGAGCGUUAAUCGGAAUUACUGGGCGUAAAGCGCAUGCAGGUGGUCUGUUAAGCAAGAUGUGAAAGCCCGGGGCUCAACCUCGGAACAGCAUUUUGAACUGGCAGACUAGAGUACUGU
This 604-nucleotide ribosomal RNA is filed under the name bacterium 4878K2-B29. Its description in RNAcentral is "bacterial SSU rRNA". It matches the Rfam family "Bacterial small subunit ribosomal RNA", at positions 61 to 652 of the family's 1533-position model. The record is from RNAcentral.